UUGAAUAAACUUGGUUGGGUUGUUGCUGGCUCCUAGGAGCAUGUGCACGCCUAAUCCAUUUUUAACCACCUGUGCACCUUUUGUAGACUUGAAUAGCCUUCGAGACAAAUGUACUCGGUUUGAGAAUUGCUGUGUGAAAAGCUCAGCUCUUCUUGUGUUCAAGUCUAUGUUUUAUAUUAUACCCCAUAAGAAUGUAUUAGAAUGUAAUGAACAGGCCAUCGUGCCUUUAAACACAAAUA
This 239-nucleotide unclassified non-coding RNA is filed under the name uncultured Basidiomycota. RNAcentral describes it as "sequence contains ITS1". Lineage: Eukaryota; Fungi; Basidiomycota. The record is from RNAcentral.